Long non-coding RNA from Cyprinus carpio carpio, 1132 nucleotides. NCBI's taxonomy places the organism in Eukaryota, Metazoa, Chordata, Actinopteri, Cypriniformes, Cyprinidae. The record is from Ensembl.
UUCAAAAAAUUCUAACGGACCCUCUUAUGUCACAUGGACUACUUUGAAGAUGUUUUUAUUACCUUUCUGGACGUGGACAGUAUACCAUACAUACAUUUUCAAUGGAGGAACAGAAAGCUCUCGGACUAAAUCUAAAAUAUCUUAAACUGUGUUCUGAAGAUGAACGGAGGUCUCACAGGUUUGGAACGACAUGAGGGUGAGUCAUUAAUGACAUAAUUUUCAUUUUUGGGUGAACUAUCCCUUUAAUCCCCGGCAGGCCCGCUGGGCCCUAUCUUCACCCGCUUCAAUUUCCAAAUCACCUACCGCCCUGGAAAAUGGAAUUGCAAGGCUGAUGCCCUAUCGCGCACAUACUCCCAAGACACUCCAUCGGACCCCGAGCCAGAACUCCUUCCAGCCAUGAUUGUAAGCCCCAUAAUCUGGAGUUCUGACAAGGACAUCCGAGCUGCCAUACGGAUCGAACCUGGUCCACUUGGAGGCCCAGAAGGGAGGACUUGCAUCCCCAGGUCCCAAUGGCAAUCCCUUCUGGGCUCAGUUCACAGUAUACUGGGCUCUGGACUUCCAGGCAGCCAACGGACCCUCUUUCUCCAUGCUCUGUACUGGUGGCCCAGUAUGUCCUGGGAUGUCAUCAGGUACAUCCAUAGUUGCUCAGUCUGUGCAAUGUCUUCCACUCCUCAUCUUCCAGCAGGCAAACUCGUGCCCCUACCUGUUCCUUGGAGGUCCUGGUUCCACCUGGGGAUCGACUUUGACUGACCUGCCAGAAUCUGAAGAACUUCGGACUGCCAGAGGAUAUCAGAGGCCUAGGUCUCCCUCGUCGUCGCAUCAGGGCAUCAGGAGCCACCCCUGGAAGAGGGGGCAGUGUCAGGGAUUCAGGUCCCAUCACUCCCGAUCCCAGUCACCGGAGUACUGCUCACCUGCACCUGCACCUGCACCCAGCAAUCACACUCAACUAUAAAGCCAUCAUCACACCAGUACUCCAGCAUCUGGUAUACCGUUCACUCUACGGAACAUUUGCCAGACUAACUUCUCUCUCCACUAACUUGUUUUCUCUGCCCUCAGAUAUCCCAACCUUCCUUUUUUUUUAUUAUUUUUUUUCCUUCGUUGUCUCCUACCUGGACUCUGUGCAUUCUCCCUC